This 440-nucleotide ribosomal RNA is filed under the name uncultured bacterium. Its description in RNAcentral is "partial 16S ribosomal RNA". It matches the Rfam family "Bacterial small subunit ribosomal RNA", at positions 338 to 795 of the family's 1533-position model. The record is from RNAcentral.
CCUACGGGAGGCAGCAGUGGGGAAUAUUGCACAAUGGGGGAAACCCUGAUGCAGCGACGCCGCGUGAGUGAAGAAGUAUUUCGGUAUGUAAAGCUCUAUCAGCAGGGAAGAAACUGACGGUACCUGACUACGAAGCACCGGCUAACUACGUGCAAGCAGCCGCGGUAAUACGUAGGGGGCAAGCGUUAUCCGGAUUUACUGGGUGUAAAGGGCGCGUAGGCGGCAGCGCAAGUCUGAAGUGAAAUCCCCUGGCUUAACCAUGGAACUGCUUUUGAAACUGUGCAGCUGGAGUGCAGGAGAGGUAAGCGGAAUUCCUAGUGUAGCGGUGAAAUGCGUAGAUAUUAGGAGGAACACCAGUGGCGAAGGCGGCUUACUGGACUGUAACUGACGUUGAGGCUCGAAAGCGUGGGGAGCAAACAGGAUUAGAUACCCUUGUAGUC